AGGCAAUUAGUUUAAAAAAACGUUUGAUUUCGGCUCAAAAGUUUGCAGUUAAAAUCUGUGAUAGCCUG
RNAcentral lists this transfer RNA (68 nucleotides) under Cirripectes castaneus (chestnut eyelash-blenny). Its description in RNAcentral is "tRNA-Arg". It matches the Rfam family "tRNA". From Rfam's summary of the family: Transfer RNA (tRNA) molecules are approximately 80 nucleotides in length. Their secondary structure includes four short double-helical elements and three loops (D, anti-codon, and T loops). Further hydrogen bonds mediate the characteristic L-shaped molecular structure. tRNAs have two regions of fundamental functional importance: the anti-codon, which is responsible for specific mRNA codon recognition, and the 3' end, to which the tRNAs corresponding amino acid is attached (by aminoacyl-tRNA synthetases). tRNAs cope with the degeneracy of the genetic code in two manners: having more than one tRNA (with a specific anti-codon) for a particular amino acid; and 'wobble' base-pairing, i.e. permitting non-standard base-pairing at the 3rd anti-codon position. Lineage: Eukaryota; Metazoa; Chordata; Actinopteri; Blenniiformes; Blenniidae. The record is from RNAcentral.